GUCGUGGUGGCGAGCUGGCGGGCCGCCCGGGUACCCAGGCUGGUGGCCUGCCGGUCGUCCGGCGGGACGGGUUCGGGUCCGUCGACGGCG
RNAcentral lists this transfer RNA (90 nucleotides) under Streptomyces seoulensis. RNAcentral describes it as "tRNA-Gly". Lineage: Bacteria; Bacillati; Actinomycetota; Actinomycetes; Kitasatosporales; Streptomycetaceae. The record is from RNAcentral.